CUUUCUGAGCAACCAAUGAAGUCCCUAUAUCCUGGAAAUGUAGGGUAUUGAGUAUGAAUUGGGUAUGAAUGUUGACUAAUGGGAAGUGGGAGAUGAAAAAGGCAGCUGGGAAAAUAAAUUUCUCCUUCUUUCACUCUCCUACAGUUACGUCUGAGGUGAGGUCCCUCAUUGCAACCUUUCUAGGGAAAUUUAACCCACUGAGUGAACACAGCUGCUGGGUAACAAUUGCCUGUUCAUGGCUCAUGGUGAAGUAGUAUGUGGCACAAUUGGGCACUGCAUCGUAUUGCAUCAAAUGCUACCUUGCCUCAUCUCUUUUCUCUCACUUUCACUGCCCUGUGCUUAUGCUUUCCAAACAUGUGAACAUCUUAAUUAUUGUGUCAAGCUCUGCCUUCUAAAGGACCUGGGCUAAGACAACUUAAAAGUGAAUGAUGGUGAACAUGCCACAUAUAAAAACAUUUGAAAUGUAGCUAGAACUAUCUAAGAGGAAACUUUAUGCUUAAAAUAUCUAGAUUAGAAAAGAAGAAAAGGUAAAAAUUGAUGAGUUAACUAUCCAAUUAGGAAGUUAGAGAAGGAAUAAUAAAAUAAAUCCAAAGAAAAUAAAAGGAAAGAAAUAACAAAGUUAAAAGGAGUUAGUGAAAUGAAAAACAAAGACAUAAGUCAAUAAGCCCAAAAGUUUGUUCAUUUAUAAAUGCUGCCGGGCACGUUGGUACUCGUCUAUAGCCCCAGGUACUCAGGAGGCUCU
RNAcentral lists this long non-coding RNA (742 nucleotides) under Homo sapiens (human). RNAcentral's name for it is "HSALNT0013146". Lineage: Eukaryota; Metazoa; Chordata; Mammalia; Primates; Hominidae. The record is from RNAcentral.